GAAUGGCUGUGUAACUGAAGAGCCCCCGUGAAAAGUGAAGAUGGGGUUCACAGAUCAGUAGGAACUUCAAUAAGGAAAUGGCAGAGCACUGAAACCUCCCAGGAUACCUUUGAAGCCAGCCAUCGGAGGAAACCCUCUAUUCUUUUGGGAAGAAUUAGGUGCCGUGUCGAUGACUCCUUUAGAAAACAAUCACCCAAAAUCCCAAAUUAAGAUCCCCCCUGAGUGUGGCAAAUGCAGUCACACGGGCAUAUGGUGCUUCAGAGAAUCCAAGAGAAUGGAUUUCCAAGCAAGAUACAUUUCAGGUUCGGCACACCGGCAAGUUGAACAAACUCACAGAGACGCAUACCGAUUUUAGGAGGAAAAG
Molecule: long non-coding RNA, 364 nt
Organism: Leopardus geoffroyi (Geoffroy's cat)
Lineage: Eukaryota; Metazoa; Chordata; Mammalia; Carnivora; Felidae
Exons: 3
Source: RefSeq, a predicted model, not a curated record